GACGAACGCUGGCGGCGUGCCUAAUACAUGCAAGUAGAACGCUGAAGCGAGGAGCUUGCUCUUCUUGGAUGAGUUGCGAACGGGUGAGUAACGCGUAGGUAACCUGCCUUGUAGCGGGGGAUAACUAUUGGAAACGAUAGCUAAUACCGCAUAACAAUGGAUGACACAUGUCAUUUAUUUGAAAGGGGCAAUUGCUCCACUACAAGAUGGACCUGCGUUGUAUUAGCUAGUAGGUGAGGUAAUGGCUCACCUAGGCGACGAUACAUAGCCGACCUGAGAGGGUGAUCAGCCACACUGGGACUGAGACACGGCCCAGACUCCUACGGGAGGCAGCAGUAGGGAAUCUUCGGCAAUGGGGGCAACACUGACCGAGCAACGCCGCGUGAGUGAAGAAGGUUUUCGGAUCGUAAAGCUCUGUUGUAAGUCAAGAACGGGUGUGAGAGUGGAAAGUUCACACUGUGACGGUAGCUUACCAGAAAGGGACGGCUAACUACGUG
RNAcentral lists this ribosomal RNA (497 nucleotides) under uncultured bacterium. RNAcentral describes it as "partial 16S ribosomal RNA". It matches the Rfam family "Bacterial small subunit ribosomal RNA", at positions 28 to 507 of the family's 1533-position model. The record is from RNAcentral.